AUCAUAUCCCAUAUCACUCUGCAGCCCAAGUUACCCACUGAAGCUAAGCAGGGCUGAGCCUGGUCAGUACCUGGAUGGGAGACCACAUGGGAGAGCAAGGUUGCUGUUGGUG
This is a non-coding RNA of Danio rerio (zebrafish), 112 nucleotides long. Lineage: Eukaryota; Metazoa; Chordata; Actinopteri; Cypriniformes; Danionidae. The record is from Rfam.